RNAcentral lists this ribosomal RNA (929 nucleotides) under uncultured bacterium. Its description in RNAcentral is "bacterial SSU rRNA". It matches the Rfam family "Bacterial small subunit ribosomal RNA", at positions 8 to 916 of the family's 1533-position model. The record is from RNAcentral.
AGAGUUUGAUCCUGGCUCAGAACGAACGCUGGCGGCGUGCUAACACAUGCAAGUCGAACGGGAUGAGGGGCUUGCUCCUCAUCUAGUGGCGCACGGGUGAGUAACGCGUAGAUAAUCUGCCUGACGAUCUGGGAUAACACUUCGAAAGGGGUGCUAAUACCGGAUAAGCCCACGUGAUCUUUGGAUCGUGCGGGAAAAGGGGGGGACCUUUUGGCCUUCUGUCGUCAGAUGAGUCUGCGUACCAUUAGCUAGUUGGUAGGGUAAAGGCCUACCAAGGCGACGAUGGUUAGCUGGUCUGAGAGGAUGAUCAGCCACACUGGAACUGAGACACGGUCCAGACUCCUACGGGAGGCAGCAGUGGGGAAUUUUGCGCAAUGGGCGAAAGCCUGACGCAGCAACGCCGCGUGAGUGAUGAAGGCUUUCGGGUCGUAAAGCUCUGUCGAGGGGAAAGAAGUGUACGGAGGUUAAUACCCUCUGUAUUUGACGGUACCCCUAAAGGAAGCACCGGCUAACUCCGUGCCAGCAGCCGCGGUAAUACGGGGGGUGCAAGCGUUGUUCGGAAUUAUUGGGCGUAAAGCGCGUGUAGGCGGUUUGAUUAGUCUGAUGUGAAAGCCCUGGGCUCAACCCAGGAAGUGCAUUGGAAACUGUCAGACUUGAAUACGGGAGAGGGUAGUGGAAUUCCUAGUGUAGGAGUGAAAUCCGUAGAUAUUAGGAGGAACACCGGUGGCGAAGGCGGCUGCCUGGACCGAUAUUGACGCUGAGACGCGAAAGCGUGGGUAGCAAACAGGAUUAGAUACCCUGGUAGUCCACGCCGUAAACGAUGAGAACUAGGUGUUGCGGGUAUUGACCCCUGCAGUGCCGCAGCUAACGCAUUAAGUUCUCCGCCUGGGAAGUACGGUCGCAAGACUAAAACUCAAAUGAAUUGACGG